UUUUUAAACCUCCUCCCUCCCCCCCACCCCACUCCCCCCCCACUCCCCAUGAACUGCCUUUCUAGCAUGAUGCCCUUUUUCCAUCCACAUUUGUGUUUCAGGUGUAGAGAGGACAGAAAGUGAACAGGGAGCAAGGGGCUUUUGUCUGCUGUCCUUCCAGGACUGCUGGAGAGAGGGGAGAAGAGGUGCGUGCAGUCCCAAGACUGCUAGAGACUCAAAAUGGUUUAUCAACCAAAGCUAACCGCCUGGGCCAUUCAGGGGGCAUUUCCUGCAGGCCAAGGGGAUGGAAGAUUUCCCAAGGGAAAUCGUCCUAUCCCAAAGGAAGUUAAUCGCAAGAAGAACAAGGCGGAGACCAUGGCUGCAUUCCUGAGUCCAGCUCGUGGCUAUGGACAGGGUUCCAAGAGAACCAAUUACCUCUGCUAUUUUUAAUCAUUACUCCUCCAUUUGUAUUACACAUGGUGUAUGGGUAUUGAUGAGGUCAUGGUGUCAUAUAUUGGGAAUUGUUUCUGUGUAAAUCAUCAAGUAUAAGAAGAAACUAUGGGGGACUCUGAGCCUUGCUUUAGAGAAUGACAGUGGACAAAUAUGUAUCAUAAACCAGUUUUUAAUCAUUCUGACGUAUGUGAAAGCUCUCAGAAUUUCACACUGUGAAUCCACGUUUACAAAUACAACAGGUGGGCCUUCAGGCCUGGUUCUCCUACAACAAUGUCUUCCACUACUCAAACCCUACUGCCCAGAUGCAACUGGUAAAUUUCCGUGUCUCCACAUCCACAGCUCCUGACUGCUUCUUGCAGAGGCUGAGAGUCCCCAUUUUUUCAUUUAGAUGUAACACACCUAGUGGUUAUUUUCAUCCAUUGUCUGUAUAUCUCUAUAUUUUAUCCAUGUACUCUUUGAUGUGUAGAAGUAGUUUGAAACUCAUUGUUUCCUUGUGGUAAGUGACGGAGAUGCUGCCACGGGAUUUGAGACACUGAUGAAUGGUGCUAUUUUGGACUUUAAAUGCUCCUUGGCAAGGUAGCUCUGAUGGAGUUAUUUUUUAUUUUCGUGUUCUAAGAGGGUGUUGGGACUUUGUUUUCCGAAUGUUGUUCUUUAGACUGGACUGACUUGGUUCCUUGUGUCUUCAGUGUGGCUUUCCUAUUCAGUGUUGUUGGGUGAGUAAAUGCUAAUAGCGCAAGUGAGGAGCUGAUUUUCUGUCAGCCGUGUGCACGCUCACAAACAUGCACCUGUUGGAGCGGGAGCAAUCACAAAACUGUAAUUGACAAACAAAUCUCCUUUCUAUCCCCUUGUCUGCCUAACUUAGAGAAAGAGAAGCAAUAAUUUUACAGUAAUCUUUAGAAGUCUUUUUUUUUCUUGGUUUUAGUUCAUACGUUUGGAAACCAGGGCAAGUUUUUGAAUGUCCUCUUUAAAACCCAUCCAACUGUGACCCACUAGGAAUCUGACAAUUGUUCCUUCCCAAAAAACUCAGAUGGAGAAACACUUCAAAAGGCAGAAUAUAGCUCUACAGCCUUGUCGAGCAAGUUGUGGAUUUUACAUUUUUGUUCUUGCUCCCAGUAAAACAAACUAAUAAACAAAACAGAACCAUCUACUCAUGGAGUGUUGUUGUGUUAGCCACAGUCUGAAAGCCCACCUUAAUUUUUUAUAUAACUCUGUCUUUUAGCUCUUCCUUUGACAGGGCAGGCUUUGUACUGAACUGUUUCUGCUUCUGACUGUUAAACCCCAAUGCAUGCACUGCACUUCUUAGUUCCCCUCUCUUUUACUGCCCCUGCCCUUCCCUCUCCCCACUCAAUUGUACCCCCUCUCUAGAGCAUCCCCCCCCCCCCCUUUUGUUAGAUUAGGUAUGUCAGUUGUGCUGUAUAUAGAGCAAGAAACAGUAUUCAGCAGUCGUGGCAUUUAUGUAUAGUGGCAGUAGUGUACUGCUGAAAAUGCAGGCUUUUGUAACCAUGUGAUCCUUAAUAAUGCACUACAAGUACCCAAUGUAUUUUAGCUCUUUUAGUAGGAUUUGUUCAAUAAAUAUGCAAGCUCUAAAGGUAA
Molecule: long non-coding RNA, 2025 nt
Organism: Tachyglossus aculeatus (Australian echidna)
Lineage: Eukaryota; Metazoa; Chordata; Mammalia; Monotremata; Tachyglossidae
Exons: 4
Source: RefSeq, a predicted model, not a curated record